This 73-nucleotide small nucleolar RNA is filed under the name Leptosomus discolor (cuckoo roller). RNAcentral's name for it is "Small nucleolar RNA SNORD50". It matches the Rfam family "Small nucleolar RNA SNORD50". From Rfam's summary of the family: U50 belongs to the C/D class of snoRNA which contain the C (UGAUGA) and D (CUGA) box motifs. Most of the members of the box C/D family function in directing site-specific 2'-O-methylation of substrate RNAs. The record is from Rfam by way of RNAcentral. Lineage: Eukaryota; Metazoa; Chordata; Aves; Leptosomiformes; Leptosomidae.
GAGCAGUGAAGAACCUAUCCCAAACCUGAUUACUUGCUUGAUGAGAACGACAUGUGAAUCAGACUCUUGAGUU